This 253-nucleotide ribosomal RNA is filed under the name uncultured bacterium. RNAcentral describes it as "partial 16S ribosomal RNA". It matches the Rfam family "Bacterial small subunit ribosomal RNA", at positions 524 to 776 of the family's 1533-position model. The record is from RNAcentral.
UACGUAGGGUGCAAGCGUUGUCCGGAAUUAUUGGGCGUAAAGAGCUCGUAGGCGGUCCGUCACGUCGGCUGUGAAAACUCGGGGCUCAACCCCGAGCCUGCAGUCGAUACGGGCGGACUAGAGUCCGGCAGGGGAGACUGGAAUUCCUGGUGUAGCGGUGAAAUGCGUAGAUAUCUGGAGGAAUACCGGUGGCGAAGGCGGCAUCCUGGACCGACAUUGACGCUGAGGAGCGAAAGCUAGGGGAGCAAACGGG